GUUCACAGCUAUGUGGACCUCUGAUGAGCUGUGAAGGUGGGGGAGAAGUGUGGGAAGGAAAAGACAGUGAGAGAAAGUGAGAAGACAGUUCUACUGACAGAUAAGAAUUAAGCAUCAAACCUUGUAUCUGCAAUCAUCAGACUCAUAAUACAGAGUAAUCUAGACAAAUUGGCAUAGUAGUUUAGUUCAGUCAUCCUGAAGCAACUUGAGGGAUCAGGAGUUUAUGGGAAAAACUAUUGGCAUAAAGCUUAUGAGCACUGUCUAGCAUCUGUGUCCAGAGACAGCCUUAUUUUUGUGAAGCUACAAGUGAACUUUUAACUUAUUCUAAGGGAUGACUGUGGCUACCCAGGAAAGAUGAGGUCUAGGAUCCAUACAGCACUAUUUAAAAGAAGAAAAGGAAAA
Molecule: long non-coding RNA, 402 nt
Organism: Cygnus olor (mute swan)
Lineage: Eukaryota; Metazoa; Chordata; Aves; Anseriformes; Anatidae
Exons: 4
Source: RefSeq, a predicted model, not a curated record